GAUGAACGCUGACAGAAUGCUUAACACAUGCAAGUCUUUGGCGAAGCUGUGCUUGCACAGCCUAGCCAAGGCGGACGGGUGAGUAACGCGUAAGGAACUUGCCCUGCAGUCAGGGAUAACAGACGGAAACGACUGAUAAGACCUGGUAAAGUCAGGCGGACUCAUGUCCAGCCUGAUGAAAAGAGAUGCUGCAGGAGAGCCUUGCGUCCUAUUAGCUUGUUGGUGGGGUAACGGCCCACCAAGGCGAUGAUAGGUAGCCGGCCUGAGAGGGUGGACGGCCACAAGGGGAAUGAGAUACGGCCCUUACUCCUACGGGAGGCAGCAGUGGGGAAUAUUGGACAAUGGGGGCAACCCUGAUCCAGCAAUUCUGUGUGCACGAUGAAGGUUUUCGGAUUGUAAAGUGCUUUCAGCAGGGAAGAAAAAAAAUGACGGUACCUGCAGAAGAAGCGACGGCUAAAUACGUG
Molecule: ribosomal RNA, 464 nt
Filed under: uncultured bacterium
Lineage: Bacteria
Description: partial 16S ribosomal RNA
Rfam family: Bacterial small subunit ribosomal RNA
Source: RNAcentral